Molecule: long non-coding RNA, 3528 nt
Organism: Passer domesticus (house sparrow)
Lineage: Eukaryota; Metazoa; Chordata; Aves; Passeriformes; Passeridae
Exons: 3
Source: RefSeq, a predicted model, not a curated record
GGAACGGGAACGGGAACGGGAACGGGAAUGGGAAUCGGGAACGGGGACGGCACCGGGGCAGAGGCUCGGGCAGGGCCCGGUGCCGGUGCCGUUCCCUGUCCCUGUCCCGGUGCCGGUCCCGUCGCGCCCGGGCCGUGUCGCGACUGUCGCGGGUGGUGCCGGCUCGGGAGCGGCACGGCCCGGCCGGGCACGGAGCCCAACAGGCUUCGAGGUUUUGCCUUUCCCCCCUGUUUUUCCAUCGUUUAUUUUCCCGCAUUUUCUCUUCCCCGUUUUAUUUUCCCUGUUCUUCUUUUUUUAUAUAUUUUUCCCUUUCUUCCUUUUCCUUGUUUCCUUUCGAAUUUCUCGUUUUUCCCUUUCUUCCUUUUCCUUUAUUCAUUUUUAAUUACUCUUUCCAUUUUUUUUCUUUCCCUUUUUUCUUUUUCCUGUUUUCUUUUCACAUAUUUUCCCUUUCUUUCCUUCCCUUUUUUUUUUUUUUUCCCUUUUCUUUUCCUCUGCUUUGUUUUUUCCCCCCUUUUUUCUUACCGGUAUUUUUUUCUUUUCCUCUUUUUAUUCUUUUUUUCCGUAUUUAAUUUUUUUCUUUCUUUCCGGCUGAAACCCUCUUUACCAGGGCAGCCUGACUAAUCCCAUCUCUUGCUGCUCUCCUGGCUCCAAGAUGACAGAGAGGAAUCAGAAUCCCAGGCUGGUUUGGGUUGGAAGGUUGGAUUUUAAGGCAUUUGGACUUAGAGGAGUAUCAGAUUUUCAGGGCUCUCAGUGUGUCCUGGUUAGGAUUGCUCUUCAGGCAGAGUUUCCCAGGUGGAUCUGCAUGGAUCUCACAUUCCCUGUGCUUUCCCAGACAGAGCCAUGCUUCCAUAGGGCAAAAAGCAGGGAGCAUCUCCCCAGGGGGAUCAUUCCUCAGGGAUCCAGGGGGAGCUGGGCUCUCUGGAGACCUGUGGGACAGGCCUGCUGGAACCCCAAACAGGGCACAGGCUGGCUUUAAAAAUGGGCUCAAAAAGCAGAAAUUGCACAACAAGGACACAGUAAAGUUGGAGAAAAUCUUUUAAAUUGUACCCAAAAUACCCCAACAAAUGAGCAGAACUUUUCCUACAGCUCCUCCAGGUUGGGUGUCCAGUGGAGCUGGGUUUGGCAUGAGUCAGGUUUCAUCUCUGAGGUCUUUAUCCCAUCAGUGAAAAGGAGUGGAUUUCCCAGGGCUUUCAGCUGGACAGGAAAGUGAGGGUGAUUUCCCUGCAGGGAGAGGUGUUGUUCCUGCCUGUUGCUGGUGUCCUGCUCCUUUCCCAGCUGCCUGCCCAGAUCAUUCCCUGGCACGAGCAAACAGUCCCUGCUUGCCUUUGGAGCAGGGUCCCUGGCACAGGCAGGGCUCUGCCGUGGCUGCUUCUUCCCCAGGAGACAAUCCCAGAGGCUGGAGUCUCCCCUGAGCAAGAAGCUCCCCCAGGCUGGCAUUGGGAUGAGUUUGUCUCCUCCUGUGCUGAAUUCCUGACACUGAGCAAACCCCCAAAACAAUACCUGGAGUUUGUUUUCAGUCAGCCAAAUUCCUUCUGGAGUGGGGCAUUGGGUAAUUUUUCCCUUUGCCCCCUCAUCUGACACAUAUUCCCCGUUUGCUGCUGCACUUUGCCUUUCCCUGCAGUGAAGGAGGAGUUCUGCAGCAGCAGAGGCAGGGGAUAUUUUCCCAGUGGGAGGCAAUCUCAAGGAUUUAGAGGACCUCCCCAGACUUUUAUUGCAUUAUUCCCUUUCUUACUGCAGUACAUAUUUCACUUUUGGAUUCCCUUCCCAUCCUGAUAUCCUGCCUCCCUUCCUGCUGGUCCCAUCUCAGCUGUUUCCUGCUGAGGUUCUGGGUGCAUUGAUCCAUUUUUGGUUUUCCACAACUUAUUCCAACUUUAAAUUCCGUUUGUGUGCUUCAGUAGUCUGUUAGUUCUGUGCCAGCACACCUUCCUGGAGAAAUGGGAUGUUGGGAUUCCUUAAACAAAGUUUCUUUGGGAAGGAACAUCCCAAGUGUGUGAGUGUCUCUCUGGCAUUCAGGCCCUCAAUCCGUGUCAGUUUGGGAAUUCCCAUGUUUGUGUUCAUUUCCUGGGCAGUUCCAGGGAGCCCUGCCUGGGUGUGGGUCACCCUCCCUUUCCAGGGGUGCUCUCAGCCCAGGGAUGUUCUUCUGGAGGUUUCCACGUGGUGUUUUCCAUGGAUUUGCAGCUGAAGCUCCCCAUUCCCAGCGUGCUGCUCAGAGCAGCAGUUUGGGAGCCCCUGGUCCUGGGCAGGGCUCAGGCACAGCUCCAGGAGAAGUGAGUGGAUGGAAUAGCUCUGGGAGAAGGUGCCUGUGUUCAGGGAAGGCACAAAACAUCCUUUCAAGGAUGUUCCCCUCACUGGGAUCACGGAUCCAAGGCUGUUCCUUCUGUUUCCUGGAUUUAAUCACUCCUUCCACACAAUUCCUUGGAUCAGCCCCAUGCCAGGUCCUGCUGGGGUGGAGGCUCAGGGAUGCCUUUUCCCAGGGAUUUCAUGUGGCACAGGGAGGUGUGAGGUACAGAAUUCCUGCUCCCAGGGGCACAGGGAGGUGUGAGGUACAGAAUUCCUGCCAGGUACAGAAUUCCUGCCCCCAGGGAGGUGUGAGGUACAGAAUUCCUGCUCCCAGGGGCACAGGGAGGUGUGAGGUACAGAAUUCCUGCCAUGUACAGAAUUCCUGCUCCCAGGGAGGUGUGAGGUACAGAAUUCCUGCCAUGUACAGAAUUCCUGCUCCCAGGGAGGUGUGAGGUACAGAAUUCCUGCUCCCAGGGGCACAGGGAGGUGUGAGGUACAGAAUUCCUGUGAGGUACAGAAUUCCUGCCCCAGGGAGGUGUGAGGUACAGAAUUCCUGUGAGGUACAGAAUUCCUGCCCCAGGGAGGUGUGAGGUACAGAAUUCCUGCCCCAGGGAGGUGUGAGGUACAGAAUUCCUGCUCCCAGGGAGGUGUGAGACACAGAAUUCCUGCCCCCAGGGAGGUGUGAGGUACAGAAUUCCUGCUCCCAGGGAGGUGUGAGACACAGAAUUCCUGCCCCCAGGGAGGUGUGAGGUACAGAAUUCCUGCCCCAGGGAGGUGUGAGGUACAGAAUUCCUGUCAGGUACAGAAUUCCUGCUCCCAGGGAGGUGUGAGGUACAGAAUUCCUGCUCCCAGGGAGGUGUGAGACACAGAAUUCCUGCCCCCAGGGAGGUGUGAGACACAGAAUUCCUGCCCCCAGGGAGGUGUGAGGUACAGAAUUCCUGUCAGGUACAGAAUUCCUGCCCCAGGGAGGUGUGAGGUACAGAAUUCCUGUCAGGUACAGAAUUCCUGCCCCGGGGAGGUGUGAGGUACAGAAUUCCUGCUCCCAGGGAGAUGUGAGACACAGAAUUCCUGCUCUCCCAGCACGAGGGGCAGAGGGGAACCCAAACCUUGCUGUUCUGCCCUGGUGCCUCGUAGCCCAUUGUUCUCCUGGUGUUCCUCCCAGUGCAGCUGGCAUCCUCGGGAGGCACAGGAGGCUCCCAGGACGUGGGGCCUGUGCUGGCACAGAGAUGUCACUGCUGCUCUUGGCUG